ACAUCCAGAUCCUAAUCCUUGUUAGUGUGACCCAGUUAGGUUCAAUUCUGUAUGGUAAUGAGACAUAUUGUGAUCUCAUCAUCGACAUCAUUGAAACUCCUUUCGAUGGAUCAGAACUCUUCUGAUUCAUAUAAUUAGAAUGAUCGAUCAUCAAGAUCAUUCUAAUUGCUCUCAAAAUCCACCAGUGACACCUAGCAGUAUAUGGUGGCAACCCA
This 215-nucleotide long non-coding RNA is filed under the name Elaeis guineensis (African oil palm). RNAcentral's name for it is "long non-coding RNA (EGUI_LNC059192)". Lineage: Eukaryota; Viridiplantae; Streptophyta; Magnoliopsida; Arecales; Arecaceae. The record is from RNAcentral.